ACGAACGCUGGCGGCGUGCUUAACACAUGCAAGUCGAACGGUGAAGGCGGAGCUUGCUCUGCUGGAUCAGUGGCGAACGGGUGAGUAACACGUGAGUAACCUGCCCUUGACUCUGGGAUAAGCGUUGGAAACGACGUCUAAUACCGGAUACGAGCCCCAACCGCAUGGUUAGGGGUUGGAAAGAAUUUCGGUCAAGGAUGGACUCGCGGCCUAUCAGCUUGUUGGUGAGGUAAUGGCUCACCAAGGCGACGACGGGUAGCCGGCCUGAGAGGGUGACCGGCCACACUGGGACUGAGACACGGCCCAGACUCCUACGGGAGGCAGCAGUGGGGAAUAUUGCACAAUGGGCGAAAGCCUGAUGCAGCAACGCCGCGUGAGGGAUGACGGCCUUCGGGUUGUAAACCUCUUUUAGUAGGGAAGAAGCGAAAGUGACGGUACCUGCAGAAAAAGCACCGGCUAACUACGU
RNAcentral lists this ribosomal RNA (466 nucleotides) under uncultured bacterium. RNAcentral describes it as "bacterial SSU rRNA". It matches the Rfam family "Bacterial small subunit ribosomal RNA", at positions 29 to 506 of the family's 1533-position model. The record is from RNAcentral.